This 76-nucleotide transfer RNA is filed under the name Bacteroidota bacterium. RNAcentral's name for it is "tRNA-Gln". It matches the Rfam family "tRNA". Rfam says of the family: Transfer RNA (tRNA) molecules are approximately 80 nucleotides in length. Their secondary structure includes four short double-helical elements and three loops (D, anti-codon, and T loops). The record is from RNAcentral. RNAcentral also lists the same sequence under 1 other name. Lineage: Bacteria; Pseudomonadati; Bacteroidota.
UGUCCGAUGGUGUAACUGGCAACACGUCUGAUUUUGGUUCAGAAGAGUCCAGGUUCGAAACCUGGUCGGACAACCA